This 528-nucleotide ribosomal RNA is filed under the name Homoneura remmi. RNAcentral describes it as "partial 16S ribosomal RNA". It matches the Rfam family "Bacterial large subunit ribosomal RNA", at positions 1892 to 2620 of the family's 2925-position model. The record is from RNAcentral. Lineage: Eukaryota; Metazoa; Arthropoda; Insecta; Diptera; Lauxaniidae.
UCCACUGGCUCGUACGGCUAGCCUGCCCACUGAAUUUUUAAAUGGCCGCAGUAUACUAACUGUGCAAAGGUAGCAUAAUCAUUAGUCUUUUAAUUGAAGGCUGGAAUGAAUGGUUGGACGAAAUAUAAGCUGUUUCAAUUAAAUUUAUAAUAGAAUUUUAUUUUUUAGUCAAAAAGCUAAAAUUUAAUUAAAAGACGAGAAGACCCUAUAAAUCUUUAUAUUUAAAUUAUUUUAAUUUUUAAGAUUAAUUUGAUUAUAAUAAUUUUAAAUAUUUUAUUGGGGUGAUAUUAAAAUUUAAUAAACUUUUAAUUAUAAAAAAGUCAUUAAUAUUUGAGUAAUUGAUCCAAUUAUAUUGAUUAGAAAUUUAAGUUACUUUAGGGAUAACAGCGUAAUUUUUUUGGAGAGUUCAUAUCGAUAAAAAAGAUUGCGACCUCGAUGUUGGAUUAAGAGAUAAAUUUGGGCGCAGCCGUUCAAAAGUUUAAGUCUGUUCGACUUUUAAAUUCUUACGUGAUCUGAUUUCAGACCGGA